AACAAGAAAUCAAAGAUAUAAGUGACUGUUAGUUGGAGAACUAGAAGUAAACAUGGUGCAAACAGUUCUUCGCGAGGGUAUACCCAGCAAUUGAGAGAGAGGAAGAAGAAGAACAGUAAAAACCUUAGAGGAAACAUUUUUUUUUUUUCUUUCGGUGAAAGGAAAUGAGAAAUGAUUAGAGAGUCGUGCUGAUAACGUGUUAUAAAUAGGCAAAAUUUAUAGAGAGAUAACCUUUACUCGGUGAAGGAACGAAGCAGUUGCAGAGUAAUAUACCGACACAAGCUGUUGCAGAGGAAGUAAUGUAUAUUAUUGCUAUUAGAUAUAUUUCUCUUUUCUUUCUUCUUCUCAUUCACUAAUCU
RNAcentral lists this long non-coding RNA (359 nucleotides) under Malus domestica (apple). RNAcentral's name for it is "long non-coding RNA (MDOM_LNC007380)". Lineage: Eukaryota; Viridiplantae; Streptophyta; Magnoliopsida; Rosales; Rosaceae. The record is from RNAcentral.